Molecule: non-coding RNA, 234 nt
Organism: Paramuricea clavata
Lineage: Eukaryota; Metazoa; Cnidaria; Anthozoa; Malacalcyonacea; Plexauridae
Source: the annotation of a GenBank genome assembly
GCAAAUGUCAUAAUGAAGUGUUAAUAGUGUACAUUUCCCUUGCGUAGUCCAAAUUUCUUCCUACUAUGACCUUUUGUUAGACACAAAAACGUUUGAUAUUCUAUCUCUCUGAUAACGACAGAGUUCCGGUUCCGGCCAUGCUUUUUUUAUUAGUUCCGGCCGGAACCGGAACUCUAAAUAAUCGGGGUUCCGGCCGGAACUAACCGGCCGGAACCGAGUUCCGGUGCACCCCUA